GGAGUGACGUCAAAGUGUGUCGGGGACGGGGAGCGGAGACACGGAAAAGGUCAAACUAAAGGCGAGGAGCGGCCGUGGCCGCCGCCGCCGGGGCCCGGCCGAGGCCCAGCCGGGGCCCAGCCGGCCCGGGCAGCUCCUCCGGACCCGCCGGACGAGCGAGGGCGGUGGCAGCCGGUGGGGCUCCGCUGUUGGGCCGGGCCGGGCGAGGCAGCCCCGGCGAGGCGGCCCCUCCGGUCCCCGCGGCGGAGCCGGCCGCCCCCCGCCGCCUCCCCUCACAGGAUUAGUUUCCAGCUAAUAUAGUGGUUGUCCAAGUAACCUACAUCACGAAAUUAUAAAAUUCCUGUAACAGUGGAGGAAGCAGGAAUCCCUCAGCUGGAAGACAGAAUAGGACUACUCUUCUGCCACAGUGCUCUUACCAUGGUCAAUUUAAACCAUCCUGAAAGGGCAGCAGUAGUCAGGCUCUGUGGCAUCUCUUGGUGCCUUGGCCCUUACCAGCUUCUCCGGCAAUAUAGCGAUAUGGAGUAGACUGAAUUGUUGAAAGGCUGAUGUUAAGUCUAUCCAAACGUGUCCUGGUUCAGCAGAGGUUGGAGGAUCAUCUGAAUCUUAAACUUAAAGAUACCUUUAAAAAGAAAGCUGUCUGUAAAAAGUGAGUUCUUUGUCAUCUUGGACCAGAGAUGUUGGUUACCUUGAAAGAAGAUGCAGACUAUGGGCCCAAAUUAGGAAUUGGAAGACUUUUCAGGAUAGCGUGGAGAUGUAUCAGGUGCUGGGCUGCUUUGCACCGCUAGACCGUCGCGGUGACGUGUGGUGGUCUGUUGCUGUAAACAUCCCCGACUGGAAGCUGUACCACUCCUAGCUUUCAGUCAGAUGUUUGCUGCACCUGGCUAUUCCUGGACAACAGCAGAAGGAAAAGCUGUCAUAAAUAUGUGCAUGUGUAUCUUACACUGUUUCUGUAGAUACGGUUGAAUUUCCUCCAAAUUAACCAACCUGAUUGUUAUUAACGGUGUAGGUGUGAUUUCUUGCGAUCUAGUCUGGGAUGGAGGUAGCGGGCUGUUGUGUGUGAUGGCUCAGGACAGAGCUCAUGGCUGCCUGGCGGUAUGAGCUACGGAAUGGUGCUUCACUGGAACGUAACGGCAAGUGGGGGUUAACUUCUUGUGCAAUUAUCCGUAAGCCAGACUUGCUUUAUGAAUUGUCUGUUUUAGCGGCUUCUGUUACUUACGACUCUUAGGAAAAAAAUAUUAUAACUGCUGUCAAAUACUUAGCAGGCAUUUUAUUUGAUGUGCCUGCUUUUUGUUGUUGGGGGUUUUUUUUCUGAAAUUCCAUGUUCUGAGUGGGUGGUGCGCUUAUUGUUUGUAAGCUGGAUAUAACCCAAGGCCAAAAUAAAGGUUAAAAAUAUGACAGAGGAUGUUUUUGCGCUAACAAUGCAUAGCAUAUACACUUGUUUGUGGUAUGGCCAUCUUGGUUUGUGCUACCCCCCACCAUGGCACUACAAAGGUCUAUUUUUCAUGUAAAUAACAGCUUUUGAAAGUCCUUCUUCAGAAUUAACUCUCCACUGAUUCAGUUCCAAAACGACUCAAAGCAACCACGUCAACAGGAACAGCUAGCUGCACAAAAAGCUUCAGGAGUGGCUUAUGUGAGUAACUUCUUCUGCCACUAAGACAGAAAAUAUUCUUGCACUACGUUAGCUCCCCACUCUGCCCCCUCCCAAAAUGUUAUCUUUUUAUUCCCUAAUACUUAAAAGAAAGACUUUGUUCAAUUUAUUUGAUAGUAUAGAAAACCUAGUUCUUACUUGUUCUGCUUUGCUAUACUGAUUCUGUAAAAGAAGAUUAUAUCCAAAGAUAAAAAUACUCAGAAAAGUGAAAUAUUUUCUUUAAUUUAUUAGAAUUUCUUAGUCCUGGGAAAGCUGGACUGAUAAGCACUGGAAAGGUAACGAUGAUCAAGUAGGCAGUGAGUGACCAAAUGUGAACCAGGGGCAGCCGUUCUUCUGGCAUGGUGCCGUGCCUCUAACUGUUGUGCUCCGGUUACCGGGGGGUUCUGUCUGGUGACACAGGAGCACGGGUGGAGAUGGAAGGUGUUGAACUUAUUUAUUGACCUAAUUCAUUCCCCGCACCUCUACAAAGAUUUGUUUUUAAAGCAACUUGCACACUUAAUACGAUCUCAGUUAAAAUGUUAUUUUUUAAAUAGUACAUCUGGCUCGGUAAUUCAUGUUGGGUAUAUUGAUAAAAAGAACUUUGAAGCAGAAUCUACAGAUUUUGAUUUCUUUUUUAAAAAAAUAAAAAAAGGUGCUGGUAGUUGUUUUCCAACCUUUCUUUGCUGUAAAUAUUCAGCAUUUCCUGGUUCUGUGUAGUAUUGGGACGUAGAAGAAAGGAAAUGUUCUCUGUUAACAAACUUCUGUGACUGAUCAAAGUAAACUUGUUAUCUCGUAAUUAAUCUGGUAGACAUUUUGGUUAGUGCUGUCUUAGCCUUUCCAUGUGCCAGAUAACGACAGUGCUGCUUUUUUUUUUUUUUCAAUAAGCUUAGUUCAUGUGCAGUUUGUCGGUCCGGUUGUGUGGAUUUUACUAAUGCGCACAUUUCUGUUGUACUAUAUCUAAUACAUGUACUCAACCACAGCUGUCGUAUGUCUUCACAUCAAAACAAACUGAAGUGGCUUCUAACUGCAGGAAAUAAAUAAAGUUUAAAAAACCACA
Molecule: long non-coding RNA, 2684 nt
Organism: Chroicocephalus ridibundus (black-headed gull)
Lineage: Eukaryota; Metazoa; Chordata; Aves; Charadriiformes; Laridae
Exons: 5
Source: RefSeq, a predicted model, not a curated record